This 506-nucleotide ribosomal RNA is filed under the name uncultured bacterium. RNAcentral describes it as "partial 16S ribosomal RNA". It matches the Rfam family "Bacterial small subunit ribosomal RNA", at positions 29 to 523 of the family's 1533-position model. The record is from RNAcentral.
AUUGAACGCUGGCGGCAGGCCUAACACAUGCAAGUCGGACGGUAGCACAGAGGAGCUUGCUCCUCGGGUGACGAGUGGCGGACGGGUGAGUAAUGUCUGGGGAUCUGCCCGAUAGAGGGGGAUAACCACUGGAAACGGUGGCUAAUACCGCAUAACGUCGCAAGACCAAAGAGGGGGACCUUCGGGCCUCUCACUAUCGGAUGAACCCAGACGGGAUUAGCUAGUAGGCGGGGUAACGGCCCACCUAGGCGACGAUCCCUAGCUGGUCUGAGAGGAUGACCAGCAACACUGGAACUGAGACACGGUCCAGACUCAUACGGGAGGCAGCAGUGGGGAAUAUUGCACAAUGGGCGCAAGCCUGAUGGAGCCAUGCCGCGUGUAUGAAGAAGGCCUUCGGGUUGUAAAGUACUUUCAGCGGGGAGGAAGGCGAUGUGGUUAAUAACCGCAUUGAUUGACGUUACCCGCAGAAGAAGCACCGGCUAACUCCGUGCCAGCCGCCGCCGUAA